This 102-nucleotide non-coding RNA is filed under the name Bacillus sp. (in: firmicutes). RNAcentral's name for it is "Bacillus sp. Guanine sequence". It matches the Rfam family "Purine riboswitch aptamer". Rfam says of the family: Riboswitches are metabolite binding domains within certain messenger RNAs that serve as precision sensors for their corresponding targets. Allosteric rearrangement of mRNA structure is mediated by ligand binding, and this results in modulation of gene expression. A class of riboswitches that selectively recognises guanine and becomes saturated at concentrations as low as 5 nM. Lineage: Bacteria; Bacillati; Bacillota; Bacilli; Caryophanales; Bacillaceae. The record is from RNAcentral.
AUAAAAACUAAAUGUAUCCUUCAUAUAUCCUCGAUAAUAUGGUUCGAAAGUUUCUACCAGAUCACCGUAAAUGAUUUGACUAUGAAGGCAGAUGAUUCUAUU